This 492-nucleotide ribosomal RNA is filed under the name uncultured bacterium. RNAcentral describes it as "partial 16S ribosomal RNA". It matches the Rfam family "Bacterial small subunit ribosomal RNA", at positions 29 to 507 of the family's 1533-position model. The record is from RNAcentral.
AGUGAACGCUGGCGGUAGGCCUAACACAUGCAAGUCGAACGGCAGCACAGUAAGAGCUUGCUCUUACGGGUGGCGGGUGGCGGACGGGUGAGGAAUACAUCGGAAUCUACUUUUUCGUGGGGGAUAACGUAGGGAAACUUACGCUAAUACCGCAUACGACCUACGGGUGAAAGCAGGGGAUCUUCGGACCUUGCGCGAUUGAAUGAGCCGAUGUCGGAUUAGCUAGUUGGCGGGGUAAAGGCCCACCAAGGCGACGAUCCGUAGCUGGUCUGAGAGGAUGAUCAGCCACACUGGAACUGAGACACGGUCCAGACUCCUACGGGAGGCAGCAGUGGGGAAUAUUGGACAAUGGGCGCAAGCCUGAUCCAGCCAUACCGCGUGGGCGAAGAAGGCCUUCGGGUUGUAAAGCCCUUUUGUUGGGAAAGAAAAGCAGCAGGUUAAUACCCCGCUGUUCUGACGGUACCCAAAGAAUAAGCACCGGCUAACUUCGUG